UAGGGAAUAUUGGGCAAUGGAGGCAACUCUGACCCAGCCAUGCCGCGUGCAGGAAGAAGGCCUUAUGGGUUGUAAACUGCUUUUGAUUGGGAACAAACAGGGGAUGCGUCCCCGACUGAGUGUACCAAUAGAAUAAGCACCGGCUAACUCCGUGCCAGCAGCCGCGGUAAUACGGAGGGUGCAAGCGUUGUCCGGAUUUAUUGGGUUUAAAGGGUGCGUAGGCGGCUUUUUAAGUCAGUGGUGAAAGCCAACAGCUCAACUGUUGAACUGCCAUUGAUACUGGAAGGCUUGAGUACAUACGAGGUAGGCGGAAUUGAUGAUGUAGCGGUGAAAUGCAUAGAUAUCAUCAAGAACACCGAUUGCGAAGGCAGCUUACUGGAUUGUAACUGACGCUGAGGCA
Molecule: ribosomal RNA, 400 nt
Filed under: uncultured bacterium
Lineage: Bacteria
Description: bacterial SSU rRNA
Rfam family: Bacterial small subunit ribosomal RNA
Source: RNAcentral